Molecule: ribosomal RNA, 58 nt
Filed under: Trichoderma asperellum
Lineage: Eukaryota; Fungi; Ascomycota; Sordariomycetes; Hypocreales; Hypocreaceae
Description: partial 28S ribosomal RNA
Source: RNAcentral
UGACCUCGGAUCGUGUAAGAAUACCCGCUGAUCUUACGUAUAUCAAUACGCGGAAGAA